AUUGAACGCUGGCGGAAUGCUUUACACAUGCAAGUCGAACGGUAGAGGGGGCAACCCCUUGAGAGUGGCGAACGGGUGAGUAAUAUAUCGGAACGUGCCCAGUCGUGGGGGAUAACGUAGUGAAAAUUACGCUAAUACCGCAUACGAUCUAAGGAUGAAAGCGGGGGAUCGCAAGACCUCGCGCGACUGGAGCGGCCGAUAUCAGAUUAGGUAGUUGGUAGGGUAAAGGCUUACCAAGCCAACGAUCUGUAGCUGGUCUGAGAGGACGACCAGCCACACUGGAACUGAGACACGGUCCAGACUCCUACGGGAGGCAGCAGUGGGGAAUUUUGGACAAUGGGCGAAAGCCUGAUCCAGCCAUUCCGCGUGCAGGAUGAAGGCCCUCGGGUUGUAAACUGCUUUUGUACAGAACGAAAAGGUUUCUAUUAAUACUAGGGGCUCAUGACGGUACUGUAAGAAUAAGCACCGGCUAACUACGUGCCAGCAGCCGCGGUAAUACGUAGGGUGCAAGCGUUAAUCGGAAUUACUGGGCGUAAAGCGUGCGCAGGCGGUUAUAUAAGUCAGAUGUGAAAUCCCCGGGCUCAACCUGGGAACUGCAUUUGAGACUGUAUAGCUAGAGUACGGUAGAGGGGGAUGGAAUUCCGCGUGUAGCAGUGAAAUGCGUAGAUAUGCGGAGGAACACCGAUGGCGAAGGCA
Molecule: ribosomal RNA, 696 nt
Filed under: Pseudomonadota bacterium
Lineage: Bacteria; Pseudomonadati; Pseudomonadota
Description: bacterial SSU rRNA
Rfam family: Bacterial small subunit ribosomal RNA
Source: RNAcentral